RNAcentral lists this ribosomal RNA (161 nucleotides) under uncultured bacterium. RNAcentral's name for it is "partial 16S ribosomal RNA". It matches the Rfam family "Bacterial small subunit ribosomal RNA", at positions 355 to 507 of the family's 1533-position model. The record is from RNAcentral.
UGGGGAAUAUUGGACAAUGGGCGGAAGCCUGAUCCGGCCAUGCCGCGUGUGUGAAGAAGGCCUUUUGGUUGUAAAGCACUUUAAGCGAGGAGGAGGCUACUUAGAUUAAUACUCUAGGAUAGUGGACGUUACUCGCAGAAUAAGCACCGGCUAACUCUGUG